GGGCGAAUGGUCUAGGGGUAUGAUACUCCCUUCGCAUCAGUCAGAUUAGCGUCUGGGAGGGGUCCGGGGUUCAAUUCCCCGUUCGUCCA
This 89-nucleotide transfer RNA is filed under the name Nemania sp. NC0429. Its description in RNAcentral is "tRNA-Ala". The record is from RNAcentral. Lineage: Eukaryota; Fungi; Ascomycota; Sordariomycetes; Xylariales; Xylariaceae.